This is a long non-coding RNA of Lolium rigidum, 923 nucleotides long. RefSeq lists it as uncharacterized. The transcript is spliced from 3 exons. The record is from RefSeq and is a predicted model, not a curated record. NCBI's taxonomy places the organism in Eukaryota, Viridiplantae, Streptophyta, Magnoliopsida, Poales, Poaceae.
CAGCGGUGACAAACAUCAGUUGGUCAGGCUUCAUCCAUAAUAAGCACACUCAUAUGUGAGUAAAUGCAAUAAGCUUUUCACGCCAGGCUUCAGAUAAUUUUUAGAACUAAACUGAAUUUACUUAUACUAAGUAUUGUCACCUUGGUAACUCAAUCCAAGAAGUUGCACCGCUGAAGCCAUACCAUGCCAUCUCUUUUCAAUCUUCUGCCAAGAAAAUGUUGGUCUUGCUGGUUAUCUUUCAACAAGCAAGAAUGCAUGACAACCAAUGUUCUGAUUAACUUGGUUCUAUGCAUCUGAUAUAAAGUACGGACAUUGGUAAGAUAGCUAGAACAUCUUGCUUAUUGCUAGCUGCUUCCUAGCACAUAGAAGGCUUGGACCUGAUCUAUGCAAAAAAAAGUCCUCUCUCUUUGCAAACAACUAUUUUGCUAAUCUAAAUAUGAAAUCAGUAGAUGCAUUUUUUUUGUUCAUUGUCUUCAUGCUUUUUCUAGGCACCACUAUACAACCUGGGUGUCAUCUGUGGAGUGACAAGUCAAACAAACUACAGAUACACUUCUGUUUGCCAUGCCAAUUUUUUGGCUAGCUUGGAUGGUGGAUUAUCAUGGGAGCUGUUUUUCGCUGAAUUCUGGAACCAACCAGAUAAGAGACUUGAAGAACCAAAAACGUCCUUCUGCUGCCCUAUACCGGAUGACCACAAAUAUCCUGGUCGUUGUGUUGUUUGCGAGAAUGAUUCGAGUGUCAUCAUCCAUCCACAGUCGGGCAAGUAUUACAUGGGACACUCAGGUCUACUUCCUCAACUAGUCAACCUUGUGGCUGAUACUGAGAAAUUGGACUUUGACAUAAUUUACUCAAGUGAAGGUGGUGAAGGAGUAUGAGGUCCUGCAACCGGGGGAGUGAAUGAACGGCCCGCUUCUCAUGUAGAGGCU